CAGGAAUAAUUUGGGAAUUUUCCUGCUGGAAUUUGGGGAUUAAUUUGGGGUUUCCCUGCUGGAUUUUGGGGAUAAAUCCCAGAUUUUUGUGAUUUUUUUUGGGAAUAUUUUGGGAAUUUUCCUGCUGGAUUUUGGGGAUAAUUUUGGGAUUUUUUGUGCUGAUUUUUUUGGGAUCAUUCCGGGAUUUCUGUUCUGGAUUUCGGGAAUAAUUUGGGAAUUUUCCUGCUGGAAUUUGGGGAUUAAUCCCAGAUUUUUGUGCUGGAUUUUGGGGAUAAUUUUGGGAUUUUUGUGCUGGAUUUUGGGGAUAAAUCCGAUUUUUGUGCUGAUUUUUUUGGGAUCAUUCCAGGAUUUUUGUGCUGGGUUUUGGGGAUAAAUCCCAGAUUUCUGUUCUGGAUUUUGGGGAUAAUUUGGGAAUUUCCCUGCUGGAUUUCGGGGAUAAAUUUGGGAAUUUUCUUGCUGGAAUUUGGGGAUUAAUCCCAGAUUUUUGUGCUGGAUUUUGGGGAUAAUUUUGGGGUUUCCCUGCUGGAUUUUGGGAAUAACUUUGGGAUUUUUUGUGCUGGAUUUUGGGGAUAAAUCCCAGAAUUUCUGUUCUGGAUUUCAGGAAUAAUUUGGGAAUUUCCCUGCUGGAUUUUGGGGAUUAAUUUGGGGUUUCCCUGCUGGAUUUUGGGGAUAAUUCCCGGAUUUCUGUUUUGGAUUUUGGGGAUAAUUUUGGGAAUUUCCCUGCUGGAUUUUGGGGAUAAUUUUGGGUUUUCCUGCUGGAUUUUAGGGAUAAUCCUGGAAGAGUUGGAUGGGGAGAAGGGAAUUCCUGCAGCCCCGGCCCCAUUUGGGGUUCAGGCCCCAUUUGGGGUUUGGGGUUCAGUUUUUCCCCAUUUGGGGUUUUUGGGUUCAGUUUUUCCCCAUUUGGGAUUUUUGGGUUCAGUUUUUCCCCAUUUGGGGUUUUUGGGGGUUCAGUUUUUCCCCAUUUGGGGUUCUCCAAGUCCCGCAGAUUCCCGUAGCUCGAUCCCGAGGAUUUCCGGGGAAAUCAUUAACCGGGAACGGGAUCGGCCGGGACCUUCGGACCCCGCGCCCGGACACACCCGGACACACCCGGGAACGAGAACGGGAUCGGCUGGGAACGGGAUCAUCCCAUGGGAACGGGAUCAUCCAUGGGAACGGGAUCAUCCCAUGGGAACGGGAUCAGCUGGGAACGGGAUCAUCCCAUGGGAACGGGAUCAUCCAUGGGAACGGGAUCAGCUGGGAACGGGAUCAUCCCAUGGGAACGGGAUCAUCCAUGGGAACGGGAUCAUCCAUGGGAACGGGAUCGGCUGGGAACGGGAUCAUCCCAUGGGAACGGGAUCAUCCAUGGGAACGGGAUCAGCUGGGAACGGGAUCAUCCCAUGGGAACGGGAUCAUCCAUGGGAACGGGAUCAGCUGGGAACGGGAUCAUCCUGAGGGAAUGGGAUCAUCCUAUGGGAACGGGAUCAUCCUAUGGGAACGGGAUCAUCCCAUGGGAACGGGAUCAUCCAUGGGAAUGGGAUCAUCCCAAGGGAACGGAAUCAUCCUGGGGGAAUGGGAUCAUCCCAUGGGAACGGGAUCAUCCAUGGGAAUGGGAUCAUCCCAUGGGAAUGGGAUCAUCCAUGGGAUUUGGGAUUGGGGUGGGAUUGGGAAACCCUGGGAUCCCAUCCCAAGGAAUUCCGGGAUCCAGGAGGCUCAGGAUCCAUCCCGAGGGAUUUUUAUGGAAUUUGGGAAAGGAAAUCCA
RNAcentral lists this long non-coding RNA (1738 nucleotides) under Parus major (Great Tit). Its description in RNAcentral is "lncRNA (ENSPMJG00000004325.1)". Lineage: Eukaryota; Metazoa; Chordata; Aves; Passeriformes; Paridae. The record is from RNAcentral.